Molecule: long non-coding RNA, 277 nt
Filed under: Capsella rubella
Lineage: Eukaryota; Viridiplantae; Streptophyta; Magnoliopsida; Brassicales; Brassicaceae
Description: long non-coding RNA (CRUB_LNC000533)
Source: RNAcentral
AACAAAUACAUAAAUUUGUAAACUAUUGAUGUCAGAAAACAAAAUUAUCAUUAGUAAAUUAAAUAGCUAUAUUAAACAAAAAUGAAAUAAAAGGACUAUAAUACAAUAAAACCUCUAUAAAUUAAUAAAUUUUGCUGGUCCCAAGUCGGGCCAGUGUAAAAAUUAACUAAAUUCGAAAAAAGAAAAAAAAGAGACUAUAAUAAAAAGAAAAGUAUGAAACGAAAUAUUAUGGUAAAGUCCGGCCCGACCUAACAAGGCUUUUCGGGCUUUACUUCCG